AUUGAACGCUGGCGGCAUGCCUUACACAUGCAAGUCGAACGGUAACAGGUUAAGCUGACGAGUGGCGAACGGGUGAGUGAUAUAUCGGAACGUGCCCAGUCGUGGGGGAUAACGUAGCGAAAGCUACGCUAAUACCGCAUACGAUCUACGGAUGAAAGCGGGGGAUCGCAAGACCUCGCGCGAUUGGAGCGGCCGAUAUCAGAUUAGGUUGUUGGUGAGGUAAAAGCUCACCAAGCCUGCGAUCUGUAGCUGGUCUGAGAGGACGACCAGCCACACUGGAAAUGAGACACGGUCCAGACUCCUGCGGGAGGCAGCAGUGGGGAAUUUUGGACAAUGGACGCAAGUCUGAUCCAGCAAUGCCGCGUGCAGGACGAAGGCCUUCGGGUUGUAAACUGCUUUUGUACGGAACGAAACGGUGAGCUCUAAUACAGUUUGCUAAUGACGGUACCGUAAGAAUAAGCACCGGCUAACUACGUGCCAGCCGCCGCAGUAA
This 493-nucleotide ribosomal RNA is filed under the name uncultured bacterium. RNAcentral describes it as "partial 16S ribosomal RNA". It matches the Rfam family "Bacterial small subunit ribosomal RNA", at positions 30 to 523 of the family's 1533-position model. The record is from RNAcentral.